RNAcentral lists this ribosomal RNA (468 nucleotides) under uncultured bacterium. RNAcentral describes it as "partial 16S ribosomal RNA". It matches the Rfam family "Bacterial small subunit ribosomal RNA", at positions 28 to 507 of the family's 1533-position model. The record is from RNAcentral.
GACGAACGCUGGCGGCGUGCUUAACACAUGCCAGUCGAACGGAAAGGCCCUGCUUUUGUGGGGUGCUCGAGUGGCGAACGGGCGAGUAACACGUGAGUAACCUGCCCUUGACUUUGGGAUAACUUCAGGAAACUGGGGCUAAUACCGGAUAGGAGCUCCUGCUGCAUGGUGGGGGUUGGAAAGUUUCGGCGGUUGGGGAUGGACUCGCGGCUUAUCAGCUUGUUGGUGGGGUAGUGGCUUACCAAGGCUUUGACGGGUAGCCGGCCUGAGAGGGUGACCGGCCACAUUGGGACUGAGAUACGGCCCAGACUCCUACGGGAGGCAGCAGUGGGGAAUAUUGCACAAUGGGCGGAAGCCUGAUGCAGCAACGCCGCGUGCGGGAUGAUGGCCUUCGGGUUGUAAACCGCUUUCGCCUGUGACGAAGCGUGAGUGACGGUAAUGGGUAAAGAAGCACCGGCUAACUACGUG